GAUGAAGAACGUAGCGAAAUGCGAUACUUGGUGUGAAUUGCAGAAUCCCGUGAACCAUCGAGUCUUUGAACGCAAGUUGCGCCCGAAGCCAUUAGGCCGAGGGCACGCCUGCCUGGGCGUCACACGUCGUUGCCCCCCCAUCUACUCCUUCGGGAUUGCGGGGGGCGGAUGAUGGCCUCUCGUGCGCCUCGUCGCGCGGUUGGCCUAAAUGCCAAGUCCUCGGCGACGCACGCCACGACAAUCGGUGGUUGCGAAACCUCGGUUGCCUGUCGUGUGCGGUCGUCGCGCAUCGAGGGCUCGAAAAAAUUGCCGGGCUUCGGCUCGACUUUCAACGCGACCCCAGGUCAGGCGGGGUUACCCGCUGAAUUUAAGCAUAUCAAUAAGCCGGAGGA
RNAcentral lists this unclassified non-coding RNA (392 nucleotides) under soil metagenome. RNAcentral's name for it is "partial contains 5.8S ribosomal RNA, internal transcribed spacer 2, and large subunit ribosomal RNA". The stretch from base 1 to 122 matches the Rfam family "5.8S ribosomal RNA", at positions 35 to 154 of the family's 154-position model. The record is from RNAcentral.